RNAcentral lists this ribosomal RNA (426 nucleotides) under uncultured bacterium. Its description in RNAcentral is "bacterial SSU rRNA". It matches the Rfam family "Bacterial small subunit ribosomal RNA", at positions 354 to 796 of the family's 1533-position model. The record is from RNAcentral.
GUGGGGAAUCUUGCACAAUGGGCGAAAGCCUGAUGCAGCGACGCCGCGUGCGGGAUGAAGGCCUUCGGGUUGUAAACCGCUUUCAGCAGGGACGAUAGUGACGGUACCUGCAGAAGAAGCCCCGGCCAACUACGUGCCAGCAGCCGCGGUAAUACGUAGGGGGCAAGCGUUGUCCGGAUUUAUUGGGCGUAAAGAGCUCGUAGGCGGUUUGGUAAGUCUGGUGUGAAAUCUCCACGCUCAACGUGGAGGGGCCACCCGAUACUGCCAUGACUGGAGUCCGGUAGAGGAGUGUGGAAUUCCCGGUGUAGCGGUGAAAUGCGCAGAUAUCGGGAGGAACACCCGUAGCGAAGGCGGCACUCUGGGCCGGAACUGACGCUGAGGAGCGAAAGCGUGGGGAGCAAACAGGAUUAGAAACCCUAGUAGUCC